Molecule: ribosomal RNA, 266 nt
Filed under: uncultured bacterium
Lineage: Bacteria
Description: partial 16S ribosomal RNA
Rfam family: Bacterial small subunit ribosomal RNA
Source: RNAcentral
GCAAGUCGUACGAGAACGUCCCGGCUUGCCGGGAUUAGUAAAGUGGCGCACGGGUGAGUAACACGUGAGUAAUUUCCCUCCAAGCUUGGGAUAACAUUGCGAAAGCGAUGCUAAUACCGAAUAAGACCACGGUAUCAUAAGAUACAGUGGGAAAAGGUGGCCUCUGUAUAUGCUAUCACUUGGAGAUAAGCUCGCGGACCAUUAGCUUGUUGGCAGGGUAAUGGCCUACCAAGGCGAAGAUGGUUAGCUGGUCUGAGAGGAUGAUC